AGUGAACGCUGGCGGUAGGCCUAACACAUGCAAGUCGAACGGCAGCACAGUAAGAGCUUGCUCUUACGGGUGGCGAGUGGCGGACGGGUGAGGAAUACAUCGGAAUCUACUUUUUCGUGGGGGAUAACGUAGGGAAACUUACGCUAAUACCGCAUACGACCACGGGUGAAAGCAGGGGAUCUUCGGACCUUGCGCGAUUGAAUGAGCCGAUGUCGGAUUAGCUAGUUGGCGGGGUAAAGGCCCACCAAGGCGACGAUCCGUAGCUGGUCUGAGAGGAUGAUCAGCCACACUGGAACUGAGACACGGUCCAGACUCCUACGGGAGGCAGCAGUGGGGAAUAUUGGACAAUGGGCGCAAGCCUGAUCCAGCCAUACCGCGUGGGUGAAGAAGGCCUUCGGGUUGUAAAGCCCUUUUGUUGGGAAAGAAAAGCAGCAGGUUAAUACCCCGCUGUUCUGACGGUACCCAAAGAAUAAGCACCGGCUAACUUCGUG
RNAcentral lists this ribosomal RNA (491 nucleotides) under uncultured bacterium. Its description in RNAcentral is "partial 16S ribosomal RNA". It matches the Rfam family "Bacterial small subunit ribosomal RNA", at positions 29 to 507 of the family's 1533-position model. The record is from RNAcentral.